This 1851-nucleotide long non-coding RNA is filed under the name Sus scrofa (pig). RNAcentral describes it as "lncRNA (ENSSSCG00030009880.1)". The record is from RNAcentral. Lineage: Eukaryota; Metazoa; Chordata; Mammalia; Artiodactyla; Suidae.
AGACUAUUUCAUCAAGCAAAAGGAAUUCUGGUUUGUAUAUCCUGAGUCUAUGUCUCUCAUUAGGUUUCAGGCAUUCAGUAUAAACUAAGAGUUUGUGUCUUAAGCUAUCAAUAAGCUAUUUUCCAAAUCUAGACAAAAAUGGAACCCAGGGCCAUCACUGGGAAAAGAUACAGUUCAAAUGUCCUUAACAAAUCGCCUUGUCACCUUUGUGAGCUCCCAUUGCAGAAUCAAUUCAGCUAUAUUAUCGCCUAAUACCGGUUCCUAUACAUCAAAGACCUAAAGCAGAACACAGCUUAAGCUGCAGAGACUGACUCCCCACUCCUGCUGCCCUAGGUGAAGGAUGUAAAUGGGUGUGCCUCUUGAAUUAAGAUGGAAAGCUGGCUUUAAACCACUUGGACUGAGCCAGCUUGCAGCAAACUAUGGGGGAACUGAAGAAUCAACAUGGAAGUCACUUUCAAACAUGCAGAAAUGGAUCCCACCAAUGAAAUGCAAAACAGUGGAAGGUAUUAUCUCUUGACUUUGGCAAUGGAUGUGUUGGGGAAAGGGCUCAGGCAGUGCCAGGAGCAUCAAACGGUGAAGACUAGAACCCCACAGGUGGAGGAACUGGCAGCAUAUGGAGAGGUGUGCUUGGGCCAGGUGUGGCCAGACAUAUCAAGUCCUGCAGUUGCUGUGAUCCUGCAGAGAGCUCACUCUCCAAGGGCUCAGGCUGAGCUGUCCUCCAGGUCUGGGCUUAGUAGAGAACUUGAGAGUGUCCAGGACCCAAGCACCCUCUAUUUUGCUGCUCCACCAUCUUGAGGAUGCUACACUGCAUGGUCCGAGAAGGCUCAGCACUGUGUCUACAUUCUAGUCACUAAGAGAAGGGAAGGAAGGGAGGAAGGAUAUAUAUAUAUCCCAUUCCUGUAAGUAGUAUGUAUAACAUUGCUAGCAUCUCACUGACCAGAAGUAUCACCGCAUCUCAUGGCAAAGGAGGUUAGGAAAUGUGAAAUCUUUUAAAUCUACAUAUAGCCAUGUGUCUAAUUAAAAAUUAUAUUACUAUGGAAGAAGGGAGGUAUGGAUAUUAGGAGAUAACUUGAAGACUCUGCCACAGUCAGUACCUUUAGAACAAUUCUCUUGGGCUAGUGAAAUCCCACAGAAAAGAUUCUUCCUAAAUCUUGACUAGAAAAUUAUAAGCCUAGUUGUCAGAGUUCUAGGCAUUGAAUGAGACGAAAAAUUGGGAUGGGCUAGUGCUUGUAGUGGUGACUGGGUCUCAUGAUAUAAUGUGUAAAGUUUUAUUCACUCAUGCCACACAUUAUCUCAUCCAAAGACCAGCUCUCCAGAAGCAAUCUAGAUUUUGGCUCAGGGUUUGGAGGUUAGCUGACUGGGUUCUUGAACAGUAAAUUGUUUUUCUGCAUGAGUGAGAAGGGCUGCAAAUCUAAUUUUCAACUAAUCUUUGUGUUUUCAGUCCCCUUUUCACUGCUAGUUCCAGAGAUAGUUGUCUACAGCUUCUUAGUAUAAUAGAAAUUGGGCUGCUUCUCAGAUUUCCUCACUCUUAACUUAGGAUUAAGCUUUCUCAAGUCCCCUAAGUCAUUAACCACUUAUUCAUCUGCUCUACAGCUUCUAAAAUUUUGUUUUUAUUGACUUCUCACCCAUGUUCUCUGUCUGAUAGGUUUAAACUUAAAAAAAAUUGCUUACUUUUCUUAGUGGGAAGAAACAGAAAUAACUGGAGAGAGUCAACCCAUCAUCUUUAACCUAAAAUAUAAAUUGUUCUUUACAGCCAUUUAUUUUAAUACCUCACUACUUUUAUUCUCAGAACAUCUAUUAACAUUUCCCAUGGAAAAUAAAAGACUGAUGAGAUGAUGAUGGUGAUAUGAA